Molecule: long non-coding RNA, 1135 nt
Filed under: Mus musculus (house mouse)
Lineage: Eukaryota; Metazoa; Chordata; Mammalia; Rodentia; Muridae
Description: long non-coding RNA chr7:81590893-81592028
Source: RNAcentral
AGGUCCCCUGGAAGAGCAGCCAGUGCUUUUUUUUUUAGACAGGGAACUCAAAAACCAGACUGGCCUCAAACUCAGAGAUGUGCCUGCCUCUGCCUCCUGAGUGCUAGGACUAAAGACGUUCACCAAUUCUAGUCUUAACCAAUGAGUCCCCCUCCAUCUUCUCAUUUGCUUCCUUAGUUUUGGAACAGUGACUCUCCUAACUACUAAGCUGUCCUCAGCACCUGCAAGGUUUUUUUACUCGUUAGGAAGAUAAUCUAAUGAUACUAACCUCAUGAUUAAGAUGAGGGUAAAAUAGCAUCGUCAGGUUGAAAAUAUAGUCAGUGAAUGUUAGUAUUCUUACUGUGUCCUCCCAUCUCCGAAUAUGAAGCAUUAUAGCGAGUGGUUAGCAUAGGGGAAGUACAGUUUUUAACAUAAUCUUCCCAAGUGUUUCUAGGUGGGCUAUGGUUUUGCAGAUGUGUUUGGAAAUAUAACUAGUAUUUAUAAUAUGAAGACAUGGGUCUACACAAUCACAUUAGAAUGCCUUGUGGUACGCUGAGACGGCUGCAGUGUAAAGAUGCCGGCUGCUGACCUGAGUUCCAGCCCUAGGACCCAUGUGAUAGAAGGAGACAACUGUGGCACGUGUGUGUGCUCCCCCACCAACAUAACUAAGUGUAAUAAAAAAGGUUGAGACAUUUCAUCUCAACACACUCCAUUGGGAACAAAUGGCACCUGUGGCCGUCCCUUGUCAAAAGACUGUGGAGGGGGACUUCUCGUUGGCCCUCACUGGAACUGACCACCUUACAUAUUAGCCACAGUGCACUGCUUUCAACUCUACUCCAGCCCGUGUCUUACUAACAGCCCAUGUAUGUGACUGAAAUUCUCCCACCAGGAUCACUGCCGAGAAAAUCAUCAGCUCAGACUGCAGCAGGCCAAACAAAGUCUGAGACACCUUCACCAGCACCACAGUAUUCAAAUGGUGAGCACCUGAGAACAAUUCGUAGUUGUAGUGUGACAGUGGGCUAGCCUGUGGAAACUACACAGUUGGGACAGGUGAGGGUGGGUCUCCUUUCCUUGUGAAUACAUUCAUAAGUGGAAUUAUGGGCAUUUUACAAGGAUGUGUUUGUUUACAUAUAGAAGAGAGACAAAGUAAAAGAGG